Molecule: ribosomal RNA, 692 nt
Filed under: uncultured bacterium
Lineage: Bacteria
Description: bacterial SSU rRNA
Rfam family: Bacterial small subunit ribosomal RNA
Source: RNAcentral
ACGGAUAACAUACCGAAAGGUAUGCUAAUACGGGAUAAUAUAUUUGAGAGGCAUCUCUUAAAUAUCAAAGGUGAGCCAGUACAGGAUGGACCCGCGUCUGAUUAGCUAGUUGGUAAGGUAACGGCUUACCAAGGCAACGAUCAGUAGCCGACCUGAGAGGGUGAUCGGCCACAUUGGAACUGAGACACGGUCCAAACUCCUACGGGAGGCAGCAGUGGGGAAUAUUGCACAAUGGGCGAAAGCCUGAUGCAGCAACGCCGCGUGAGUGAUGAAGGCCUUCGGGUCGUAAAACUCUGUCCUCAAGGAAGAUAAUGACGGUACUUGAGGAGGAAGCCCCGGCUAACUACGUGCCAGCAGCCGCGGUAAUACGUAGGGGGCUAGCGUUAUCCGGAUUUACUGGGCGUAAAGGGUGCGUAGGCGGUCUUUCAAGUCAGGAGUGAAAGGCUACGGCUCAACCGUAGUAAGCUCUUGAAACUGGGAGACUUGAGUGCAGGAGAGGAGAGUGGAAUUCCUAGUGUAGCGGUGAAAUGCGUAGAUAUUAGGAGGAACACCAGUUGCGAAGGCGGCUCUCUGGACUGUAACUGACGCUGAGGCACGAAAGCGUGGGGAGCAAACAGGAUUAGAUACCCUGGUAGUCCACGCUGUAAACGAUGGGUACUAGGUGUCGGGGGUUACCCCCUUCGGUGCCGCAG